UACAGAGGUCUCAAGCGUUGUUCGGAUUCAUUGGGCGUAAAGGGUGCGUAGGUGGCAUGGUAAGUUGAAGGUGAAAUCUCGGGGCUCAACUCCGAAACUGCCUUCAAUACUGCUGUGCUCGAGGACUGUAGAGGAGAAUGGAAUUCACGGUGUAGCAGUGAAAUGCGUAGAUAUCGUGAGGAAGACCAGUGGCGAAGGCGGGUCUCUGGGCCGUAACUGACGCUGAGGAGCGAAAGCGUGGGGAGCGAACAGG
RNAcentral lists this ribosomal RNA (253 nucleotides) under uncultured bacterium. RNAcentral's name for it is "partial 16S ribosomal RNA". It matches the Rfam family "Bacterial small subunit ribosomal RNA", at positions 524 to 776 of the family's 1533-position model. The record is from RNAcentral.